This 638-nucleotide ribosomal RNA is filed under the name Callopistria exotica. Its description in RNAcentral is "SSU rRNA". It matches the Rfam family "Eukaryotic small subunit ribosomal RNA", at positions 1165 to 1793 of the family's 1831-position model. The record is from RNAcentral. Lineage: Eukaryota; Metazoa; Arthropoda; Insecta; Lepidoptera; Noctuidae.
CACCACCAGGAGUGGAGCCUGCGGCUUAAUUUGACUCAACACGGGAAAUCUCACCAGGCCCGGACACCGGAAGGAUUGACAGAUUAACAGCUCUUUCUUGAUUCGGUGGGUGGUGGUGCAUGGCCGUUCUUAGUUGGUGGAGCGAUUUGUCUGGUUAAUUCCGGUAACGAACGAGACUCUAGCCUGCUAAAUAGGCGUCGUCAUUUAGGUGUGCGUGGCUCCGUCACGCAACUCACUGGCGACGUAUUAAAAUUCUUCUUAGAGGGACCGGCGGCUUCGAGCCGCACGAGAUUGAGCAAUAACAGGUCUGUGAUGCCCUUAGAUGUCCUGGGCCGCACGCGCGCUACACUGAAGGAAUCAGCAUGUUCUCCCUGGCCUAGAGGCCCGGGCAACCCGCUGAAACUCCUUCGUGCUGGGGAUUGGGGUUUGCAAUUAUCCCCCAUAAACGAGGAAUUCCUAGUAAGCGCGAGUCAUAAGCUCGCGUUGAUUACGUCCCUGCCCUUUGUACACACCGCCCGUCGCUACUACCGAUUGAAUGAUUUAGUGAGGUCUUCGGACCGACACGCGGUGGCUUCGCGGCCGUCGGCGUUGCUGGGAAGUUGACCAAACUUGAUCAUUUAGAGGAAGUAAAAGUCGUA